Molecule: ribosomal RNA, 407 nt
Filed under: uncultured bacterium
Lineage: Bacteria
Description: partial 16S ribosomal RNA
Rfam family: Bacterial small subunit ribosomal RNA
Source: RNAcentral
AUUGAACGCUGGCGGCAGGCCUAACACAUGCAAGUCGAGCGGAGCGGCGGACGGGUGAGUAAUGCCUAGGAAUCUGCCUGGUAGUAGGGGAUAACGUCCGGAAACGGGCGCUAAUACCGCAUACUAUCAGAUGAGCCUAGGUCGGAUUAGCUAGUUGGUGGGGUAAAGGCCUACCAAGGCGACGAUCCGUAACUGGUCUGAGAGGAUGAUCAGUCACACGGGAACUGAGACACGGUGCAGACUCCUACGGGAGGAAGCGGUGGGGAAUAUUGGACAAUGGGCGAAAUCCUGAACCAGCCAUGCGGCGUGUGUGAAGAAGGGCUUCGGAUUGUAAAGCACUUUAAGUUGGGAGGCGGUACCAACAGAAUAAGCACCGGCUAACUGCGAGCCAGCAGCCGCAGUAAUAC